This 437-nucleotide ribosomal RNA is filed under the name uncultured bacterium. RNAcentral describes it as "partial 16S ribosomal RNA". It matches the Rfam family "Bacterial small subunit ribosomal RNA", at positions 29 to 507 of the family's 1533-position model. The record is from RNAcentral.
AGCGAACGCUGGCGGCAGGCUUAACACAUGCAAGUCGAGCGGGCAUCCUUGUGGUGUCAGCGGCAGACGGGUGAGUAACGCGUGGGAACGUGCCCUUCGGUUCGGAAUAACUCAGGGAAACUUGAGCUAAUACCGGAUACGUGCGAGAGCAGAAAGGUUUAUCUGCCGAAGGAUCGGCCCGCGUCUGAUUAGCUAGUUGGUGAGGUUACGGCUCACCAAGGCGACGAUCAGUAGCUGGUCUGAGAGGAUGAUCAGCCACACUGGGACUGAGACACGGCCCAGACUCCUACGGGAGGCAGCAGUGGGGAAUAUUGGACAAUGGGGGCAACCCUGAUCCAGCCAUGCCGCGUGAGUGAUGACGGUCUUAGGGUUGUAAAGCUCUUUUCUCCGGGACGAUAAUGACGGUACCGGAGGAAUAAGCCCCGGCUAACUUCGUG